This 21-nucleotide non-coding RNA is filed under the name Caenorhabditis elegans. Lineage: Eukaryota; Metazoa; Nematoda; Chromadorea; Rhabditida; Rhabditidae. The record is from RNAcentral.
UAUUUCCUUUCUGGCCUUUCU